AACGAACGCUGGCGGCAUGCCUAACACAUGCAAGUCGAACGAAGGCUUCGGCCUUAUUGGCGCACGGGUGCGUAACGCGUGGGAAUCUGCCCCUCGGUUCGGAAUAACAGUUAGAAAUGACUGCUAAUACCGGAUGAUGACUUCGGUCCAAAGACUUAUCGCCGAGGGAUGAGCCCGCGUAAGAUUAGGUAGUUGGUGGGGUAAAGGCCUACCAAGCCGACGAUCUUUAGCUGGUCUGAGAGGAUGAUCAGCCACACUGGGACUGAGACACGGCCCAGACUCCUACGGGAGGCAGCAGUGGGGAAUAUUGGACAAUGGGCGAAAGCCUGAUCCAGCAAUGCCGCGUGAGUGAUGAAGGCCUUAGGGUUGUAAAGCUCUUUUACCAGGGAUGAUAAUGACAGUACCUGGAGAAUAAGCUCCGGCUAACUCCGUGCCAGCCGCCGCAGUAA
Molecule: ribosomal RNA, 449 nt
Filed under: uncultured bacterium
Lineage: Bacteria
Description: partial 16S ribosomal RNA
Rfam family: Bacterial small subunit ribosomal RNA
Source: RNAcentral